This 568-nucleotide small RNA is filed under the name Pongo abelii (Sumatran orangutan). RNAcentral describes it as "processed transcript". Lineage: Eukaryota; Metazoa; Chordata; Mammalia; Primates; Hominidae. The record is from RNAcentral.
GCGCCUUUGCUGUUUGUGGUCCGCCAGAAGGAGGCUGUGGUGUCCUUCCAGGUUUCAGCGCAAGUACCUCUACCAAAAAGUGGAACGAACCCUGUGUCAGCCCCCCACCAAGAAUGAGUCGGAGAUUCAGUUCUUCUAUGUGGAUGUGUCCACCCUGUCGCCAGUCAACACCACAUACCAGCUCCGGGUCAGCCGCAUGGACGAUUUUGUGCUCAGUACUUCAAGUAUGAGUUCCCUGAAGGCGUGGACUCGGUAAUUGUCAAGGUGACCUCCAACAAGGCCUUCCCCUGCUCAGUCAUCUCCAUCCAGGAUGUGCUGUGUCCUGUCUAUGACCUGGACAACAAUGUAGCCUUCAUCGGCAUGUACCAGACGAUGACCAAGAAGGCGGCCAUCACUGUACAGCGCAAAGACUUCCCCAGCAACAGCUUUUAUGUGGUGGUGGUGGUGAAGACCGAAGACCAAGCCUGCGGGGGCUCCCUGCCUUUCUACCCCUUCGUAGAAGAUGAACCGGUUGAUCAAGGGCACCGCCAGAAAACCCUGUCAGUGCUGGUGUCUCAAGCAGUCACAU